CAUGUAAAGGGCAACCACUACACAAACUCCAAGAAAAAUGUGAGUAUUAGAGUUUGGGGUUUGUACAUAUAACCUCUUAAUUUAUGGGUAUAUGAUAUGCUAAGGUGGCAGCCACCUCUACUAUAAAAGCAGUUUUAUAUUCACAUUUUUCUUGGAGUUUGUGUAGUGGUUGCCCUUUACAUG
Molecule: microRNA precursor, 183 nt
Filed under: Oryza glumipatula
Lineage: Eukaryota; Viridiplantae; Streptophyta; Magnoliopsida; Poales; Poaceae
Description: pre miRNA MIR444
Source: RNAcentral